RNAcentral lists this transfer RNA (84 nucleotides) under Synergistaceae bacterium. RNAcentral's name for it is "tRNA-Leu". It matches the Rfam family "tRNA". From Rfam's summary of the family: Transfer RNA (tRNA) molecules are approximately 80 nucleotides in length. Their secondary structure includes four short double-helical elements and three loops (D, anti-codon, and T loops). Further hydrogen bonds mediate the characteristic L-shaped molecular structure. tRNAs have two regions of fundamental functional importance: the anti-codon, which is responsible for specific mRNA codon recognition, and the 3' end, to which the tRNAs corresponding amino acid is attached (by aminoacyl-tRNA synthetases). tRNAs cope with the degeneracy of the genetic code in two manners: having more than one tRNA (with a specific anti-codon) for a particular amino acid; and 'wobble' base-pairing, i.e. permitting non-standard base-pairing at the 3rd anti-codon position. The record is from RNAcentral. Lineage: Bacteria; Thermotogati; Synergistota; Synergistia; Synergistales; Synergistaceae.
GCGAGGGUGGUGGAACUGGUAGACACGCAUGACUUAGGAUCAUGUGCCACUGGCGUGGGGGUUCGAGUCCCCCCCUUCGCACCA